RNAcentral lists this ribosomal RNA (253 nucleotides) under uncultured bacterium. Its description in RNAcentral is "partial 16S ribosomal RNA". It matches the Rfam family "Bacterial small subunit ribosomal RNA", at positions 524 to 776 of the family's 1533-position model. The record is from RNAcentral.
UACGGAGGGUGCAAGCGUUGUUCGGAAUUACUGGCGUAAAGAGCGCGUAGGCGGUCUAAUAAGUCAGACGUGAAAGCCCUGGGCUUAACCCAGGAUGUGCGUUUGAAACUAUUAGGCUUGAGAAUCAGAGAGGUGAGUGGAAUUCCUAGUGUAGAGGUGAAAAUUCGUAGAUAUUAGGAGGAACAUCAGUGGCGAAGGCGGCUCACUGGCUGAUUACUGACGCUGAGGCGCGAAAGCGUGGGGAGCAAACAGG